RNAcentral lists this long non-coding RNA (379 nucleotides) under Mus caroli (Ryukyu mouse). Its description in RNAcentral is "lncRNA (MGP_CAROLIEiJ_G0003425.1)". Lineage: Eukaryota; Metazoa; Chordata; Mammalia; Rodentia; Muridae. The record is from RNAcentral.
GGCUCCUGAAAUCCUCCGGUGUGAACUCCCAGGGCUGUUGAUGCUUCAUCUACUCUUCUGGCAGUGGGGGCCUGGACCUUAGUUACCCGGGGAGCGUGAGUCAUGUUGCACAGUUGAGCUGGCACAUAAAACUGCGAGGACAGAGAUCCAAGGAGUGGAUCAACAUGCCUGAGUUUACACAGUGGACCUGAGGACCUUCACCUCCCAGUGCAAUGCUCCUGUGUACUGCCACUGAAGAGACAGGUGGGAGGGAGCUCAAGGUUGACUUGCCUAACAACCAUUGCUUGAAAGACAAAGCUCCCAAGGAGAGCACAAGAUCCCUCACUCGAGACUCCUCUGCAUCACCAACCAGUGUGAACAAAGCCUGCAGCUGUCAGCA